Callithrix jacchus (white-tufted-ear marmoset) is the source of this 20774-nucleotide long non-coding RNA. RefSeq lists it as uncharacterized. Lineage: Eukaryota; Metazoa; Chordata; Mammalia; Primates; Cebidae. The record is from RefSeq and is a predicted model, not a curated record.
CACACACACACACACACACACACAGCGAAAGCUGUAAGUGCUCUUCUAAAAGCACUGCAUGUUGGAAAAUUAGACUAGGAGGCACUUUGACAACUUUUUAGACCACAGAUUUCUGGGGAAGCCAAAAAGAGCUGGGGUGGCAAAACUCGGAGCACAAGGAAUGCCUCACAGCUGUGCUGGGGGACCAAGGGUGUGGAGAAUAAGCCAGGGACCAGGAAAAGGCUCAGCCUCCCAUCCCCUAUUACUGUCAGUCUUGAGGUGUGGCUGCCAUUCUCUUGCAUACCCAGUACUCCUUGCUGGGAUGCUGGGAUCCCAGGGGUAAAUGCCAAACCUAGCUUCAUCCCUUCCUUAACCCCCCACAGUACUUUGUUUGCAUUUUUCUUAGGGUACUCGUUGCCCACCUCCCUUUAAUCCUUCCAAAAACAUGUGCCCCAAUGCCAAGGGCAUCUUCCCUGCUUCUGCAUCCAGGAGCUCUUAAGUCUAUACAAAUUGAAAUACACAUUCAACAUACCCUUGGGGAUUUGAUCCAAAUGAAAAGCGAAGAAAUAAGCAGCUCAGUGUGAGCUCUGAGCAUGUGUCCAGGCUUACUGUAGUGAGACACUGUAAGUAGAUCUACCCUGUGGAUCAGUUAAACUGCAGCUGAAAGCCGCAGGUGAUCAGAAGGGUGGGCACCAGUUUACGUGGGGUUGAAGUUCAUAAUAUUGAAAGAACCUUUUUAAAAUAUAUCAUAUAUAUAUAUAUUUAUAUGUAAUUACAAAUGUAAGAUAAGGUCCAAGGCUUGGAGGUGGGAGGCUCUGAAGUUGAAAUUUCAAGAACUUCAAGGGUAAAUAGCCUGUGGUCUUUGCAAGUGGCUGGCAAAGGGGUCAAAGAGAUAGGACUCACCUUUGACUGAGCCUUGAAGAAUGGGCAGAAUUUGGAAGGACCAAAUAAACAGGGCCAGGAGGCAGGAUGAACAAAGACAUUUAAUACUGCCAGAGGCCUGCUUGGAGAGCCUGUGAGCAACCCAGUCCAGUUGGACAGAAACGUUGCAAAGCACAUGUGGAAAGAGGAAGGCCUGAAAGUCAGCUGAAGUCAGUUGCGGGGGCGGGGGUGGGCCUGGAGUGCAGGCUGACACCUCUGAAUCGUAUUUCACUAGUUGUAGGAGCCACGGAUUUGUAUUUUUUAAGUGCAGUUCAUUUACUUGAAGAAAACAAUGUUUUAGGAAGAUUAGCCUGGCUUUAUUGUGCAAGGCAAUGAAAAAGGAGGCACUUACGGAGUCCAGGCUUGGGUGCUAAGGGCCUAAACUUAGAUUGUUGAUGAAACUCAGACUGUAGCUUUGCGAAUGAGAAGGAAAUACCUAACUCAAUGGAUUUUGGUGAUUUUUAGGGACCAAGAAGAGAAGAAUUCCAAGAUGAUUGAGGUUUCUGCUGAGCAUUAAACUGUAUCAUUGAGAGACAUGAGAAGGUUAAAGAGGGACAGAUUUGAAGGAGAAAAUAGAAGAGGAAGAUUUUAGACAUUUCAGACUAGAGGUGAUGGGAGAACUAUGAAUUCUGAGACGGCAAUAGGGAAUUGAGGGCUGGAGACUGAUUUGGUAAUCAGAAGCACCCAUUUAUCCAUUCAUGCCAUAGGAAUUUGGUUGGCAACCUCUGGAAAAACCAGCCCUGUGUUGCAUGUCAAAAGGGAUGUAAAAGAUGAAGAGGUCCCUCCCUUCCGUAAAUUAAAUUUAGGACCUCAAGAGAGAAGAGAUGGAGGUGAAACGAGUGAAGUGAGGCAUGGUCUGUUGUGAACAAGAAUGAGCCACCUCACUGUGGGGGAAAAAGUUGGCGAUGGCAUCCGUCACCCAUUGGUUUCCAAAGAGUAUUGGACUCAGUUGACUCACCAUGUGGUAGCCCCCAUCCACUGUGUCCCUCCCCAAAUGACAGGCUUGUCUGCAGAGAACAAUGUCCACAGAGGUUACAGCUGUCCUCGGCUCCCUGAGUGAAAGAAGUUGUUACAGUAAAUAUGAUGCCAUUCAUGCAGUGGAGAGAUCACUGGGGAAAAUUCCUGGAUCCUGAAGGAGGGAGAACUGUAUCUGAACAUGGAAGAGAAAGCUGACUUCCCAGAGGUAGCUCCAUUAAAAUAGGGAGGAUGUCUCCUAGGAGGUGAAGGAGAUGUAACCCCAUAGGGAAGCUCAACUGACUUUUCUCGUGCUGUUCCGUCUGUUGAGAAUGGCUGAAGCUGAGAAGCCAGCAUCAGAAACUAAACAAAGGGAAAAAGUAAGAGUCAAGGUGGAGGAUAAGGGUACAGGGUUGAGAAGAGGAAUGGGCAACAAGUCCACGAUUUUCAAGUGAAGCUGAACCCCCAGCUUCUAACUUAUUGUUUACAUAGCAGUGAACUGCCUAGAGCUUUUGCAGAAUCUAUAGAGGUGACCUUAUGCAUGUUUCUUUAACUUCUAUUGCUGAAGUGUGUUUCAAUUUCCUUGCUUCGUGAUACCCUUUCUGAAACUUACAUGAAUAUGUGUAAUAGGUAAAUUUUAAUGUGACAUACGUUAAUUUUAGGCAUGUCAGAGUAAGCAGCCACUAUCAAGGGAAAUCUGAACUCCGCAGGGUUGGAUCUUCCUCUCAAUAAUUUGACAUCAAAUGGUGUGUCCCAUCCUUAUAAGAAAAAACUGCCUGUGGUCUAUCCGCAAACCAUACUUGGGAGAUGAUUUGCAAAAGAUGCUGUUUCUUAAUCUACCUUACUCUCAAACUCCUUGGCUGCCAUUUUUUUUUACCUUGCUUUACUUACAUGAAUAAAGUGAAGACAGGGAGGACCAGAAUAAAGAAAGAAGGAGGAAUCAAAUUAAUUUUGCUGCUUAUUCCUACUUGGCCACCAAGAUACAAUAGAUGUCAAGGCUGUGAGUAGGACGAGGAUUUAUAGUCAUUUCCAUGAGUGGUGAUACACAUGGCCCGUGUGCCAAGAGAGCUGGUUGGUCAAUGAAACAGGACUUCCUGUGCUCAGUGCUGAAUAAGCUCACCAGCAUCCAGCCUGAGAUGACGGGGGGAAGUCCAAGGGGCUUUGUCUGUCACUUGCAAUUACCAGGAUCAACCAAGCUAAGCUGCUUGUCCUGACUGCCGAAAAGUUCUCACCCCAAAGAAUUUGGCCUUCCCCGAUGCAUGAUGGAAUCUUGCUCAGACAUUUGAAGCUAUUCUCAAUGAGAAACAAACAAACAAAAAAAGGCGAGAAACAACAACAACAACAACAAAAAACAGAUACAAAGUGGGAUCCUUUCGUUUAUUAGAAACUAUUUCCACAAACUGAGCAAUCUGGAGACUUAAAAGUUCUGACACGUGUGUGUAGGUCUGGCAAAUCCUACUAGUUUACUCUCCUGGCUCAGAUUCCUUUGUAAAAAGUCAGAUGCUGCUGAUGUUCAUGAGGCUUCUCUUCGGGCACCAGGGUAGACAAGAUAACCUGAAUAUCUACAACAAAAUGCCUGGGAAAUGUUGGGUACAACUUGUAAAACAUAAUUUUAAUGCACAGCUGAGCUCACAGGAGGGUAAUGGAAACCCCCAAGAGUCAGAACGCCAAGGGGACAGACCUCUGGAGAAGGAAGCCUAAGUGGCCGCUGGAGCACCUGGAAGGUAGAAGUGUACGGUAGGAUGGGUCUGCUUUAAGAAGGCAGCUUUGAAUGCCCACACCAGGAAAAGUGACAGAAACCUUAGGCCUUGCCUACGGGUUGUUGGAACUAAGAAACCCCUCACACAGAUACAUAAAUUUGGGACUCUCUAAGAACAAUACAGCACCUUGGGAGACUGAGACAGGAGGAUUGCUUGAGGCUAGGAGCUCAAGACCAGCCUGGCCAACGUUGCAAAACCCUAUCUUUACAAAAAAUUUUUUAAAAAUUAGCCAGAUACGGUGUCACACACUACUUGCAUAGUUCCAGCUACUUGAGAGGCUGAGGUGGGAGGAUUAAUCAAUUAUCUAGGACUCACAGAGGUUUUGAAGUUUAAAUUUAAAUAUAUAUUACCCUUAUAUUUUGGGAAUUCAAAAUAUUGCCUCUAAACCUAAAGUAUCUCUGGGUGACCUUGUAUAAGCAAAUCACAACCUGGGUGACCUUGUAUAAGCAAAUCACAAAUGUCUGCAGGACCUAUCCAAAAGCCAGGCCUCACAGGAGUCCCACAGAUAAAGCGCUGCUAAAGCUGAGCACACACUCCAAGAAUCUAUCCAUUUAAACAAUCCACCCCUCAGCCCACAUUUUCUCCUUGCUCCUUCCAGCUACAUGUUACCCCACUCCACGAUACAAACUGCUCCUCUCCUGCAGCAGAAUUAGACCCAAAGAACUGCUGUCCCUUCCUGUAUCCUAUUCCUUGCCUCCUUGAGAGCAGCCACUAAGUUCCUUAGAGCUCCCAUGGAUUGCUUAUACUUAAAAUACACCCCAUGCUCCCACAGGCUGGUUUACAACCUCAGGCGCACAGGCGAUGGGAAUGACACCCACGACAAAAGCCUGAGGGCCAGCUCACGUCAGAAUGAAGACUAGGGGACAAGUCCUCAGGCUCCUGGCUCUGACUCUUUCCACUUCACUAUUCUGCUUCUCUCUUUCUUGCCGUCAGUAUUGGCACUUGUAAGAUGAGUUUUCUGAUAGUUCCCAACCACGUUGGAGAGAAAGGAUCUGAGAAGUCAGUUGAAACAACACAACAACAAAAACUAAUUCCCCAGACAGAUGUUCUGCCAAUGGGUGAUUGGCAUUUGAUUGUGUAUUAGAGCCAUGGCUCUUGUAAGCAGCUGGGGAGGGGUCUGUGGGGAUUACCUUUCCAAGGGCCAUUCAGAGGGGAAAAGCUACCUGUGCUCAAAAUCAACCAAUGAGGAUCUCCUGAAUCACCAGGAAGCCAAAGAGCCCAGGGAUAGGGAGGGCAUGGUGAAAGGUUGGGGGAGUGGGGGACAACAGCAUAAAGGACUCUGUUUUGCUAGGAGCCCAUCACUAAACAAAGUGCACACUCCACACUCCCUGCAGAGGCUGUGCUGCCCUCCAGGUGUGAGUGAAGGUGAUGGCCUACCCUGCUAGCAUCAGCACCACUAGAUGGCUGUCAGCAUCUCAAGGGGGCAAGACCCAUGUCUGAUUCAAUAACCUGUAUUCCGAGCACUCAGCAGAGAGCUUGGCACACUGUCAGUGCUCCCUCAAGAAGUUAAACGGAUGCUGCAGACCAGGGCAGCCCAGCUGGGUUGGUCCAGAGGCAAGGGAGUGACACCCACUCCCUGAUGCAGUAUAUCCCGUAUACCACAGCCCUGCAAGUCCACAUUCAAUUCAGGCAGGGGUGGGGAGGGGACAAGAGAGACCUGAGAUGGGGCACCUCUGAGUGAUCCCCCCACAGCCCAAAGCACUGGCAGCCCCCUAGGAGACCCUGGAAUGGACUUGCUGACAGCAGCCACGUACCUGAUGGCUCACACGUCCCCGCCCUUUGGCUUAUGUUUCCCCCCUGCUCUUUCCUGCUAAAGUGACCGCUGCUGAAUGCCACCAGCCAUGGGGUCAUGCAGCUUCCCUCCCGAGCCUGAUCCACUGAGGUUUCCACAUGUGUAGUCAUGGGCUUUGUCAUGACUGAGCUGAGGACGCCUUCUUCCCUUUGAGACCAGAAAGAGAAAGCCCACAGGAGCUGAAGGGCAGCUGGGCAGCACUGUCAACGUGCAGACGACAGAGGCCCGGGCCUGGCUGGUGCCUGCUGCCCUAGCCAGGGAGGUCACCCGUCUCUUCCGCAGUUAUCCUGCUUUGCCUGCUGCUGAGUCUCUGAGGUGACGCUCCUUCUGUCGUUGGCUCAGCCCUCCAACCCAGACCGCACACUGUGGCCUCUCAAAGCAAUGUCUCCUGAUAAGCUGGCCAGAAACAGAAGGGAGGAGAGUGGGGAGGAGAGGGUUGGAGGCGACAGCAGAAAUUCCUUCCAGAUUCUCUAUAUUCUGUGUUGUUUGAACACAAUAAGCAUAUACUAUCUCUGUGAUUUAAAUUCAAAUGUCAGUGAAAAAAGUCAAAGCUCAGGCCAUACUGCUGUGGGUUCAGAGAGGUUUGACUCAAAGCCUAUCAUGGGGCAGGAAGAAUUUUUUGCUGGUCAGUAUAACCAGGGCAGAGAAAGGUUUUUAUUUCUUAAAAAUGUUUUCUACAUUAAAAAAAAGAAAGUCCAGGAGUCAAAACUAGACCCUCCUUCAUUCCAAUGGACAUAGGUAGCAGAGCCAGGGACCCAGUCCUUGUGCCAGGAGGUGCUGGGGAGAGGCAGGGGAGCCUCGGGUGCUGCUGCCAUGCUCCCCAGCCGAGUACAGGGCCCAGGAAGAAGACCCAGCCCUAGUUGGGGUGCAGCAGCUGCACAUACACCCUACUCUUUGUGGUCAGGCCACACUCUGAGACCCAGCUCAGCCUCUAAACAACUUUCCCUGGGAGCCAAACUCAACCCAUCCCAGUCCUGGCCAAGAGGUGUCACCAUCAUCACAUUGAGGGCCAGCCGCCCCAUCACAGGGCAAGCCGCCCUGACCCAGGAGGCAACCAGAAGAAGCUUUGCUCCCCUAGAAGCAGACUCCACGAGAGGCUCACUGCCCUCCUAGGGGGUCUCCAUGUGUUCCCUUCCCCCAUCCCAAGGGAAGGCUCCAAGCCUUGUCUUUACAGAAGGGAACACUGAGACCCAGAGACCGGGGUGACUCUGGCCAGGUCACAGAGACACAACCAGAACACUUUUAACACCAACCCCUUUGAAAAAGACAUUUCUGGCACCUAGAAGAGAUGUCUGUGCUCAGAGCCAUAACUUCACUCUUCAUACAAGAAAGAAGUUUCAGUUUACUCAGCACACUCACCCCAAGUGAGGUCAGAAUUCCCUCUGACUUCAUACCGGCAGUUUCUUAAGGAAGCCAGGCCAUGAGUUGUCAUUCUGAGGCUCUCAAAAAGGUGGUCCCAGGUGCUUUUUGCUGAUAUUUCUCCUGCUUUCAAGUAGCUUCAUUAAUAAAUGAAAAUUAAUUAGGACCUUAUUAAAAAGAGCUUUUGGUUGUGAUGGUUAAGAAGAAGGUGCUGAUUGGCUAUUCUAGGUGGAGUCCUCAGCGUCCUCUCAGCAGAAGCUGUCGUCAUGGACGCAAUCAUACAUUAAUAGGAGCCAAUGAAGAGAAAGAACUUGAACUCUGCCUUCUCCUGGGUUCCCUUCCCAGGAAGUAAUCCUGCCCUGGGGUGGAGCGCAGCUGGGAGCAGCAAGACUGCAGGGCAAAAAGGGUAGGGGAAGGACCUCAUAUCCAGGAUGAGGGACUAUCUACCUCAAAAGAGCCAGCAAGGAACAUGUGGGGCAGAAGCCCAGAGGCCCUUUGUGACAUCCCCAGAUGAGUUCCGUGUGUAGGUGGAGCUCCAACCUGAAAACCCAGCAAGGAAUUGGACUGGAGCCAGGAGGGAGUACCAGGGAGCUGUGGCCCAGCCCAUUCAUGGCCCAGCUUCACCUGGCCUGUGGUCUGCUUGUACCAUGGAAUGCGUGCAGUGGCAGGGAAGCUGUUCUCCAUAAUGAUCACAAAAACUGACACCUCCUGGAAUGGCUUUCUUUGGGCCUGCUUCUGAUGACCGUCUAGAUAUUUGAAGCCACUGACACUGUCCACCUAAAACGUCUCUGGAUUCACCGUCAGGGUUUGCUGCAGGCUGAGUUUUGUAACUUGGCCUGUGACCUGUCCUCCAAAGGACAGCUUCAGGCUCAUCUAAGGGGCCAGCCAGAGCCCCGCCACCACGUCUUCUCCCUGGAUCACCUUUCUUUGCAGGGGCUCUCGCCUGUAAAAGCCUAAGAACAAAUCCAGAGGAAGCUGGCCUGGAGGAAUGCAGACAGAACCACUCUGUCUCCUGGGAGCUUGGAGUUUUCAUUUUGUCCAAGCUUGCAGGGUCAGGCUGCCCACUAAUCUUGCGGAGGGACACAGCUAAGAGGAACUUCUCUGGAGGUUCUCUUCCAAACAAAGAUCCUGGUUUGGGCUCCCAUCUAUACACAGAAGUAGCAUGACCCUGCAGCUUUGUUGACAAAACAUUUGAAAAAUGCACCCAGGACACUAGCAACCUGCCUAUGUAUAUUUCUGGCAAUCAUUCCUGGUUGAAUUUAAAAAAAAAUUCUUGAAAAUAAAAAAAGAUGCUUAAAAAGUCUAUGUCUCUCACAGUCAAUGGUAACCACUUUGGAAGUGGGUCACCUCCCCUUGCUAACUGCCCUGGGGGAUGAGGGUAAGGGAUGAUAGGGCCCCCUGUGAGAGGACAUUUGAAGUAUUUGUGCCAUUGUCCUAACAGAACAGAUGCCUGUCUGCAGGGCACGCGUGCAUGCAUUGACAGUGUGGUUCUCUCAGGCUUCUAGUCAUGGCAUUAGCCAGUCAGCACAGACACAGCCCCAAGGGUCCACAUGCCCUCUAGGCAGACAUAAGGUGGCUGGAAAGGCAGCUGCCCCUGCACUAAGGACUGUUAGUUCAACUGCACCAUUUUGUAAACCACCCCCGACACCACCAUCCCCGCCCCCCCCCCCCAUUUCACAGAUCUUGAUUAAAGUAAAAUGUUCCAUGGGGGUUUGGACCAUGAGAAACAGCCUGCCCGACUUUCUGACAUUCUGCUGUAAAAAAGUACAGAGAACAUCACAUUCAUCUGGAACAUGGGCCAAACCAGCUCAUCAUGGGAACAUGUUAACGUUUUCCCAGGCAACAGCCCCCAGACCCCUCCCGCCCUGGGCUAUAAUUGCCCCAGCCUGUAAGCAGUGGUGAGCAUGUAAGCAUUAAGCAGGUCCCCCACCUCUGCAGGUCUUAUGCUGAACAUAGAACCUGCAUUGCUGUAAAGCCACCAACUCCUCUUUCUUUAACCCUCAUCUUCCCUUUUAAAAACCUAACAAGGAUGCUAAACCUUAGAAACCAUGACCUUCACUGAAACUGGCUGAGUUUAAGGAGAGACUCUUAGUCAUGGUCAGUUUCCCCUCUCCUCUGGCUCCCACCUCCCUUAACCAUGCUGUGUCCCUUGGGGGAUGAGCACACCUGGCUGCUUCUCCAGACACUAGUCCCCUCCCAUUUCCAGCUCUGGGCUGAGCUGGCCACCUUCCCAACUAUUCUGAAUGCCUCUUUCACUGUUUCUUUAAGAAUAGAAUAAUAUAAUGCAUUUAACAGUGGAAAGACUAUUAAAAAAUGAAGUUAUCCAUACUCAGAAAGUGACUACAUUUUCCCAAAUAUUGUGUGUUGCCAUAAAAAACAGUGAGGCAUGAUCUGCUAUAGAAAAAUCUCCAUGGCAUUGGGUAGGGAAAAAAUCUAGUAGGUGGAUUAUAAUUAUAUUUAGGAAAAAAAUAUAAAAGGGGGACACAAAACUAUUUUUUUGCUCGUAUUGACAUUAAACUGCAAGUCAUUACCAAGUAGAAUUUAAGAUAGAGCACAAUAGACUCCUCUCUGAACGUGAUUAUAAAAAGGACAAACAUAGACUAGUCUGUUUUCCUGUCAUGAAAACCCAUGUACUCACCUCUUAGAUCUAAAACUACAUUUGACCAUAUUGCAUCAUCUAUACGUUUUUUUACUGAACCAUUUCAGAGGAAAUUACCUUAGAUGCUGCAUCUUUAAAAUGUUGAGUUUGCAUUGCCUCCACAUAUUCCCCUACGCAAUGCCAUUAGCACCCUAACACAAUAAGUGAUUCCCCAAUACCAUAUAAUUGAGUCCAUAUGAAAAUCUCAGUUGUUUCCCAAAUGUUGAUGCUGCUCACCACAGGCUUGGUCUAGGUCCUGCUGCUUGCCACAUAGCAAGUCAAUCACUGUGACAUCAAGUAUUGCCAAGGAAGAAGAUUUUAUUUGGGUGGUAUCAGCCUCAAAUAUGUCCCUUCCCAGCAACUCAAGGAUUUACAUACUGGAAAGCAAAAACAGGAGGGGCCGGGACAAGGAGUUGGUCAAUAGGCAGCAGGCAGUAGCAUAAGGGGUUCCAGCAUCUCAUCGUAACCACAUGUGGGAAAACAGGAAUGAGGCAGGAGUAAGAAGUUGGUCAACAAGCAGCAGGUGCACCUCAUUGUCCAGUGGCAGUAAUCUGGAAAGCCUCAGUUCCCAGUACCACUUAGGAGGCCUGAUGGAUGGUUGGUUUCCUGAGAAAGGAACUCAGAUAAGACAAAUGUAAGUUUUUCAAGCUUCAGGGGUUUGUUGUUGUUGAGACAACAGUUUCACUCUUUCACCCAGGCUGGAGUGACGUGGCACUAUCUUGGCUCACUGCAACCUCCACCUCCCAAGUUCAAGCAAUUCCCCUGCUUUAGCCUCCCGAGUAGGUGGGAUUAUAGGCACCCACCACCAAGCCUGGCUAAUUUUUGUAAUUUUAGUAGAGACGGGGUUUCACCAUUUUGGCCAGGCUGCUCUUGAACUCCUGACCUCCACUUGCCUCAGCCUUCCAAAGUGCUAGGAUUACAGAUGUCAGCCACCGCACCCAGCCCAAGCUUCAGUAUUAUGAGAAAACUGGGCCAGUUUCAAUGUUUAUUUAUUUGGUUAUUCAAGUCUCUUAAUGUUUUUUAAAUCUAAAACAGUCCUCCCACCAGCCCUCCUUCCCUGGACACUUUUAAAUCCAUAGCAUGAAAGAGACCAAGUCAUUGUCUUAUAGAAUAUCCCUCAUUUUAGAUUUGCCUGAUUGUGUCUUCAUUCUCUAAACUGCUAUAAACCAGCAGUUGGAUUUAAAGGCUUGAUAAGACCCAGGUGGAGGAUUUUUGGCACCAAUGCAUCCCAGUUGAUGCUGUAUACUUACUUCAUGUUGUAACUCAUCAUAAUAUCUGAUGAUGUCAUGAUGGGAUCUCCUAGAAUAUAUAGACAAUGGCCAGAUCAUACAUAAAAAUAGAACUCUGACCCAUAGUCUGCAACAACCAGUCCCGGAAGCCAAACAACCCCUGUUGCCUUUGGUCCCAAAUGGCCAGGACUUGAUCAAUGCCUGCCAGUUUCCCUAAUUCUUGCCUCUGCUUUGAAAAUCCUUUAGUAGUACCAACCAGAAAAGCCAAAUGCGCUUCCCUAACCAAUCAGAUAGGAUACUCUGCUUCUAGUUAGCUCACCCACAGCCUCCAGAUGUGGAAAGUCUUUGAUCAGGGCUCACCUGAAGCCUCCUCUUUUCCCACCAUAAAGCUUUCUUACUCCCCUGACUGCCUUUGAGUGUCUGCAAUGGCAAGUGACUGUGGCUGAGUCUCUGGCUAUAUACCAAACUGAGAAUAAGUAGCUUUUGCUCAUUCUCAUUUGGGUGGUCUACAGUGAUUUCUGAAGUGAAGUGUGAUCACAGUGAAGGUAGUAAUAGACCCCUUACACUGUCAGUGGAAAUGGACUCAGAUGUUUUACUUCAUGCCUUUCUUAUACUGCUUGGAUGUUUUCCAUGUGCCUAUAUUCAUAUUUACAAUAAAAGCAUGAUUUAGACUUUCGCUUAGAAUCUAUCUGUGGUUUUAAAAUGACAAGGUUUGUUCUUCUUUUUAUUAGGCAUGUAGUUAAUUACACUGAUCUCAUUAAAAAAAUAAGUUUAAUUUGAAUAAAAGAAUGCCACAGUGAAAUACCAUUAAAAAGAAUGAAGGACCUUAACCCUGGGAGAACAUAUAAAAGCAUAUGGAAGUCACCCAGUUUGAUGUCUGAUGUAUAGUGGGUGUUCUGCAAAUAUCAGAGCCCCUUCCCAUGGUGCUGCACACUGCACAAGACGGCAGGGGUCCACCCCUUUUAUCUUUCUGGUCCCCUCCAGUCAUCACCCAUAGUGAAUCCCAAAGGCAGCAACUCCACCCUUGGUGCUAGAGGACCACCGAUUCCUCCUAGUCCUCAACGGAAACCUCCCUGCCAUCUUCUUCUUGGUGUCUGCCAACAUACAUUUCUUUCUUCACUUCCCAGGACAUUUGAAGUACUUGGUGCCCCUCCCUCCAAGCUCCUCCCUUCCCUUCAGGUAUCAAGGUCUCAUUCAACAAUUCAGGCUCAAAAUACAAUGGAAACCUCAAGGGGGUGAGCCCAGAAAGGAACUCUUCCUUGUCCAGUUCCAGAAGAAAACCAUUAUCUUCUCUAACCCCAGGAUACACAGUGGCUGUUCUACACUCAGAAAUCCCUGCAUGUGAUUCCCAGGGAAGGAGGCUGCAACUCUCCUGCUAAGAGCUCACGUAGCCCCCGGGCUCCCCUACCCCCACCCCAUCCACGCACACCCCUCUCCCAUCUUCUCUGGCCUUCUCCAGGGCUGGCUAGCAUUCUGGUAGCACCUUUGCCAGGGAAGCAAGCUCCCGGGACAUGCUUCACUUCGAGUCCUUGCCCCACUGACUCGGACUUGCGUUCACCUGCCUCUGGUCUCUUCACCUGGCAGCUUUGCAUUUUCAGAUUCAGCUUCUCCAGUGAGUCCAUUUGCCACCACAGCAGUGAUUGCAAUAGAGGGACAGCACGUGUUUUCUGUAUUAUGUGAAAAUAAUUUAAGAUACAGAACAUUUAUGUAUGCAUCUUCUGGAUGAGGAGGGAACAGAAAUUCACAUUUGAUUUAGCUGGUAUCUGCAGAAAGCAGCAGUAGGGAUUAAGAAAUGGAUAAAAACUGUGUUACUUUUUGGGAUGAAGAGUGGCAUGAAACUGAGAUCUCAGUGUAUCUAUUUUUAUAUCCCUUCUAUUUGAGGGGGGAAAAAAGUAUACUCCAGGAAGUUCUGAUCACCAAAUCCUUCCAGAGAUCCAGAGUUCGGUCUUCCAAGCCAAGGAGGCUUUCAGUCCCACCCACUGAAAUAAUCCAGUCCUUUUUUCACCUGUGUCAACCCCGAACAGAGGUGUGGCCUGCGAUAUCCUUCAUGCAAUCAAUUCGGGCCUCCCCCUGGUCCUGGGGGUCAUCUGAGGUCCGCAGCCUUGGCAGAGGAAUGUUUUCUGCCAGCAAUUCCCACAGAUGGGCUGGCUCCCCCAAGUGGGCAUGUGCACGAUGCCCAGUGUGGGCCUCUGUUUUUCAUCCCUGAAUCUAUCCCCCACAGAAUGGUUGAGUUGCCACACCUACCUCUCUAAUAAGCUUGAGGGUACUGUGUCCCCUGGGGGACGUCCCCAUGUUGGAGCCCACGUGCUUGACCAUGCAGGUGAUUAUAGUUCCUCCUCUCCUUUCCAGGGCUUUGAGCCCAGCACAUGAAGUUGGGCAUUUCUUGUUCCCCCAGUUGGCUGCUGUGGAAUGACUAGGAAACUUCUUGGAUGAGAGUUUAAACCCCAUAGGAUGCCAGGUGGCACCUGGGCACAGGUCAAACUUUCCGAGAGCAUUUUAAACCUCUUUCACUGCAACCAGGAAUGGCUGGCUCUCUGCUGCUGCUGCUUGCAGGGAUUACAAUUGUCCCAUCCAUACCUUGGUCUGUGGUGGCUGUUGUUACCUGGGCAUGUGUGGCCACCACCUUGACUGCUCAGGUAGUUCCUUCCCUGAGUUCUAGAAUGAUGUCACAAUGAUGCCCAUUAUGACAGAUCAGUCCAAGGCUGCACACUGACCCAACCAAUCAACAUGUGGGUCAGAGCUGUGAUUAAGAGACUAAGUCAGUGAAUUCCCAAUUGUGAAUAGACAGUAUGAAGGCUUGAAACCUCUCUGAACCUGAUGGGCAUAGGCAGUGAUCUUCUGCAGAUCCAACUACGGCACAGAAGAGUGUCUCAUCCGGAACACAUUUGGAUAGUGACACAACUUCAUUUGCAGUCAGCUUGUCAUCCUGAGCUCCCUUCCCAAGCAGCAUGGAUAUUGCACUGGAUUUGCUGACCAGGGAGUUGGGUUAUAAGGGGUAACUCUUGGCCUCUUGUUAAUAUUAGCAACAUUGACAGUACCAUAUGAUCCAUCUAUGACACCGCACAGGGAAAUCAAGUCCAGUGUUAUAGGACAGGAGAAAUGACUCCAGCCAGGAUCAAGCAUUGCUUUGGCAUUGUUCCCCUAUACCUGGGCCUUUCUUCUCCGAUUGUUGGGGUAACUGGAGUGAGGAGCCUGAGGGGACCCAACGAUGUUCUCUUGGGAGAAUUUCCUCCCAUGGUCUUCUCCAUUUGUAGACAUUUUGAUUGGCUCGAUUUCUAAGGACCAAUUAUCUGUGCUUUAACCUGAAAUAAGGAACCUGCUUUCUGAUCUUCAAGAAUACAUGGACACACACCUGUCAGAUUCAACUCAGAGAUUUUUGGUUUUAAAGGAACAAUUGUGUUCAUCACAAAUGAAGGUUCCCUCAAGGAGCAGCCUGCUGGAAUCACCUCCUGAGUCCAAAUCUUGUACCCCUUAAAAAUACUUACUUAGUAUUUACAAGUAAUAAGUAUUUAGGGUGUUAUGAAAAAUGCAAUUUGAAACGGUACAUUGUUUCUUAAGAACAAGAGGAACUGUUUAGAAAUUAUACAAUGUAUUAACAAAAGUACUGAAUAUAUCUCAAACACAAAAAUGUAGAAACCAGUUACCAAACCUCAAGAAAAACUUAAACUUGUAAAAUGCAAAGGUUAAAAGUAUUUCAUCUUCAUUCUAUUGUUGGCAGAUAACCUUAAUAAAAAUGAGCAGUUAUUUCCAGCAAAAUGGCAUGUAAUUUUAGACGUAUCACUUUUUAUUUCUAUGGAAAAGCAACACUGGCAUGUAUCGUUGCUGAAGGUGAGGCAGCUUUUUGAUUCUGUUCUAUUCUGAGAUGCAUAUUAGACACUGGGCACACACCCCAGAUGUGCUCAGGGCACAGCCUGGCCCCACAGAGCACUCCUGUCUGCAGGUGGGCACCUAAGGCCCUGCCAUUCCCACUUCUUAUCAUGUUUACUUAGUGCUCAGAACCUCUGCGCAUCUUUAAAUGACUUCAGUGAGAGUAGAUUAAAGUGGCUUAGAUGCUCCUAAGCUUCCUCAGAGCAUGUAGCAACUGUAACAGCAAUUCAGAAAAAGGACAAAAUUUAUUUUACUCUUAAUGGUACACAGCAUAGGAAAACAGCUUAGGCAGUUUACUGUAACUGAUGGCCCUGAUGUCCUUGUCUAUAAACUAUAAACUCCCCACAGAAGCUUCUGUAAGUAUAAUGUUAAAUAAGUCUAUAAACACAAAUAACAGCAGCAAGAAGGAGGAGGUCAUCCAAAUGCCCGGUUACAGGAAACUGGUGAAGAAAUGUACUGGUAAACCCACUGCGAUGGUGUGUGUGUGUGUAUGUGUGUGCAUGUGUAUGUGUCAACUUGGCUCAGUGACAGUCCCUAGUUAUUCAAGCUAGGUGCUACUGUGAAGGUAUUUUGCAGAUGUGAUGGAUAUUAAGAAAGUAUCCUAAAGAUCUGGGUGAGCCCGAUUCAAUCAGCUGAAAAGCUUUAAAAGCAGAAGCCUAAGAAGGCCUUAAAAGCUGAAGCUUCCCUGAAAAAAGAAAUCGCAUCCUUGGGCAAUGGUGUCUGCUGUGCCUGUGCCUGCGGAGUUCCAUUCUGCUCAUUCUCUUCCCUUUCUGACUGCCCAGAGACAACAGCUGUGGUCUGUGCCCGGGACCUCCCCGAUUCUGGACUUGCUUAGCAGCACCUGCAAUCUUGUAAGCCAAUUCCUUUAACAAAUUUGCAUAUACAUAAAAACACUGGUUCUUCCUCUCUAAUUAAAGCCUAAUCAACAGCCCACAAAUUAGAAGGGGGAUGCUGCUGUUAGAAGGAAUAAGGUAUACAUUUUAGUCCCUUCAAGACCCAAUAAAUGAUGGUAAAACAAUAGCAAAGAAAAAAACCUUAUUUUGGGGUUAAGAAAGCAGACUGAUACAUAAAGUUAAUUGUGCUCCUCUCUUAAAAUCCUACUACAAAACAAUAAAUGUAAUAAAAGAAUUCUUUUAAAAAGACAGAAAUUUAGAAAUACAGAGAAAGCAGAGAGGCAACAACCACAAAAUCAUUUUAGAAGUUGAAAAGCAGAGAGAUCAGUGGCAAAUUCCUUAGCAGACCUGAGAAUACCACAUCCAAAACCAGCAGAGGAAAAUGCUAAGAAUCUUUAAAUGUACAGAACUGUGGCAUUGUUACCCCAUAGACGUUGGGGUACAGGGGAGGCUUAAGUAUAGAAUGGGUGAAAGCUGGGUGAGAAACCAAUUUCUACUUUCCAAGCUACGGAGACACAGCAUGGCCAAAGCGAGGUUUCUUCUCUAGAGAGUAUAAGAGAGGUGUGGAACUAGGGAUGCCAGCACAGAUCCAGAGAAUGGGCACCACACUGAAAACGAAAGGAUGAAGUGACCAUAUGCUGUCAUGCUGGAUGCUGAGUGCGAAGAGCCCCAACCUUCUUCCCCCACAGGGCUCAGAGAUGUGGCCAGGCUGAUCCUUCCCAUCACAUAGAAGGGGCUCCUUGGGGGAACUUGGCAAAUCCCUGAAGACCUAACGAGACCACUGCUGUGCUUCCCCAGUGAACAGCCCAGCCAGACCAUCCUACAGUGAAACUCAAAAGACCACACGCUUACCCAUUUGUUCUAGACUUUUACAUUUCCUUCAUUAGUCAACAUCCAACGAUUAUUUGACACCUGAGGUUAAAGCCUCUAAUGUGCAAAACCAAGACCAAGGGAAAUAAAAUCAAUAUGAAAAAAAAAAACUUAGAGGAAUUGGAAUUGGAAAAAAAAACUUAGAGGGAUGAAGAAAAACAUACUAUCCUCAGAUAAGAUGCUGUAUUCAUGAAACAAGUACAGGAAGAUAUAAAAGAGUUCUUGAAAAUUAAAAACAUGUUAGCAAAACUGAAAACUCAACAGACAAGACUGAAGGAUGAAAGUUGAGUGAAUCGCCACAAAAUAAGAGCAACACAACACUGGAGCGACCAAAAAAUGAGGAAACUGGCCAGACUCGGGGGCUUACACCUGUAAUCCCAGCACUCUGGGAGGCGAUGGUGGGCAGAUGAUGAGGUCGGGAGUUUGAGACCAGCCUGGGAACGUAGUGAGACCCAUUUCUACCAAAAAUUUUAAAAAUUGGCUGGGCGUGGUGUCGUGUACCCGUAGUCCUGGCUAGCUGGGAGGCUGGUAUGGGGGGAGUGCUUGAGCCCAGGAGUUGGAGGCUGAAGUGAACUAUGAUUGCACCACUGCACUCCAUCAUGGUGACAGAAUGAGACCCUGUCUUUAAAAAAGAAGAAAAGAAGUGAGGAAAUUAUUCAGGAUGCCUGACACAUAAAGAACUGAAGCUCCAGAAAGAAGAGGAAACCGGCCCCACAGUUAGGUGCUCACAGCCCUUGAUGUUUUGGCUCUCGGGAUCUGCGUGUCCACCCCAGCCUCCAGCCUCCCAACUCAGACGCAGCAAUCCAGACACAAGGAUGAACACAGACUUGCUAGUUUUCACUGCAUCCAGCCCUGUUCUAGACGAUGAUACUAGGAGAAGGUAAACCCAGUGAUCCUCUCGUGGAGAAAGAAUUCAGAUUCGAGGCUAAGCCUUUCUCCUCAAGGAUUUCCUCAGAGGAAAUAGAUCCCUCAAAGGAGAGGAGGACAGAAAAAGGAAGAAGGCAACAUUCCCAGGAGAUUCUCAGCAAAUUACAGGACAGGUGUCAAGACGAGAGCUGGCCCCAGACUCCAAGGGCAGUGAAUCCAGCCUGGAGCAGGGAUUCAGGACAGACACAUCGGGAGCUGUCAGCACCAAGAUCCCCAUGGGCUUUCCACAGGUCAGCUGAGGACAGGUCGCCUGGGUGAUCCCAUCCACAUUCUUUCUACUUGGCUUAUCUUGACACGAUAGAGGAGCUUCCUGCCUUCCAAAUCAGCUGCAGAACCUCACUCCAUCCCACAGCAGUGCUCAGCUUUGACUUCCUCCCAAAAUUGAGAGGUCAGCUGUGGGGACUGCAAAAAAACAGAACUCGGCAGCAGGCGACCUCCAUCCACAUUCUUGCUAGAUGAUCAGGUCCAUGGACAGUGCGGUCACAGGUCCGGAUGGUGGCAGCCCCGGAAGCCCAGGACGCAUUCAAGCCUUGCUGCUCCCUAGCUUUCCCAGAAGGGGCCCUCGUAAAUUCUUGGGGAAGAGGUCCACUCUGACCUUGAGAUCACAUUAUGUUCUCCAGCAGACGUCAUCCAUCAGUGGAAACACUGUGCUUUCCCCACACAGUUAAUCUGUGCUUGAUGCUCCAUGUUUUCAAAACUGAACAAUACAUGAAGAGCAAGGAAAUUAUUAACUAUAGGUCAGGCUAACACUCACUUUGGUGGAGACGGUGGGUAGUGGUAGUAUUCUGUUCCUUAAAGAUGUUAACGCUAUCCAUUUAACUCUUUAAACUGUACGUUUAUGGCCAGGCACAAUGGCUCAUGUCUGUAAUCCUGGCACUUGCGGAGGCUAAGGUGGGAGGAUUGCUUGAGCCCAGAAGUUCAAGACCAGCCUGGGCAAUAUAGCAAGAUCCCAUCUCUACUUAAAAACAAAACAAAACUAUGCGUUUAUAUUGGAUAUACUCUAUGUAUGAGAUGUAUUGGAUAUCUUCUCUAUGUAUGAUAUCUUUCACAGUUGGGGAAAAAAGAUAAAAACACAUAGUAAUAGGGAGAACGAAAGGGGAACCAUCAAGAGGCCAGAGACUAUAUUCUACAAAGGGAGAGCAAAUGAAAGAGGAUGAACAGACAGGAAAAGGGUGAGGGAACCCACAGGCCAGAAAAGUAGAAGUGGGGCAGUGCAGAGGGCCCACCUGCCCCAGGUCCCACCUCGAGGUCCCCAUCCACUUAGAGGUCCACCAUUCCCAUGCUGGCAUGUGCGCCCUUGUCUGCGGUUUAUGUUCACUCUGUCCCUUCUUGCACUUCAUGUUUCUCUUCAUCCUUGACUUAGUAACCCUCGUGGCCUUGUGUCUCAUCCACCCCACAGAAGAUGGCAGCUCAGCUCCCCAGAGCAAGCCUCUGGUUGGCCCACUGCUGUUGAGCCUCAAAGCUUUGUCUCGGCUGGAAAGACAGGCCUGCGGCUUUGGCUGGUGCUCAGCUCCUACCCUAGAGCUGCUCAGGGUCCACACCUAAGCAUGAGGUCUCCUCCUACCUUGAAGCUGGGGUGUUCUGCAGCCUGUGCUAGGCCAGGAGCGAAGUCAAGCUCCAUUCGAGUCCUGUUCCCCACUCGUAUCACAGAAUCGUAGCUGUUAGCAUGGGAAGGGACCGCAGAGGUCAUCUCAUAUUCAAUUUCUUGGCCUCAUGGCUGGAGCUGAAAAUCUACUCUGCCUUUCCAGAAUGAUCUGAGCCAGCAUGAGACAGACACCAUCUUGGGGAGGAGACUGAUUUGGCUGUGCCCACAACCCUGCCCCCCAGCAUGGUCUCCAUGUGGUAUAGAUAAGCCUCUAACCCACCAGGGCACACAUCCCCCCAGGGCUGCCUGACAGCAUGUCUUGGGCCUGCCCUGCGAGGCCCCAGUGUGCCCAGAGAUCUCAGUGACUUAACUGCCUUCCAUUUCAAAAACACAUAGGAUUGUCUUCCCCCUUGUAAUUACAAAAGAAAACCAACGUGCCCGUAGAAAAUUUGGAAAUUACAGAAGAAGAAAAUAAAAUCCCAGCACCAGAAGUGCGGCUGUUAAGGUUUGGCAUCGUUAUCUGAGUUCUGUGAAAGAAAGCAGUCCUAAAACCAGCAGCUACUGCUCCAAACGCCAUACACCCCCAUUUGCCAGGCCAGUGACUGCAAAUGAUGGCACUGAGUGUGAGCUGUCAAGGAGGCAAAGGCAGGCCCUGUCCCUACGGACACAUGGGCCCGCUCCAACUACCAGAGAGCCCUGCACAGCUCUGUGACACCCCGUAGCCACAGGUGAGAUCAAGACUGCAGCACCAUGGUGGAACUUUACCCGGCAGGAAAGGAUGAGGGAGGCAUCCACACCAAGUCUGCCCCACGGGCCUGGCCAUCAGUGCAAUGUGAGUGAGUGGUCUGCAGAACAUUCUGCCCCCAAGCCCCUCCAAGCAAAAGGAUCAGAGAAGGAGGGCUCUGCUCUGCCCCGGGCCCUUACCACCCUGCAACAUGGAGUUCAGGCCCACAUGGGCUGUUCCGGGAGCCCAGCAAUGCUGGGUGAUCUCCCAGUAUGAUGCUGUCAGGUAUCACAAAGCAGCCCCCAUGCAGGUGGGGCCCUUCCCAGCGGGGAGCCCCAGACAGGGAUCUGACUGAGAAGGCUGCCCAGAGCAUUCAGCUCACUCCCUUUUGAUUUUCCCAAGCCUGCGGAAUUGAAUGCGAGGGCCAGAGGGCAGGCUCUGGGUCUCACACAGAUGGGCUGCCUGGCUGCAGCCACCAGCUCACACCACACUGGACAGAGGGGAGGCAGGGAAAGGGAGGAGGGAGUGAGAGGCUGAUGCAGCAGGUAGCAGGGACUGUGGAUUAUCGUGAGAGCCAGAAAGAACCCACACAUCAGCCAACUCCAGCUACAUGCUGCAGAGGAGAGAAGCUGUCUCAAGUUUAGAAAUAUGAGAAAGCAGAGCGAAUAGGAAGAGAUGAAAAACUUGCAUCUUCAAACAUAACCUUACAGAAAUUGACCUUUAUUUGUUGUACUAAAGCCUGUUUAACUUUUGAUACAAAGUAACAUUUUAGUACAGAAAAUCCCAGUCUGUCAGCUCAGUACCUGUCUGUGCACACUGUACCAUCUCAGUCCCACAUUGCCUGCAACUCAGAAAGCAGCCCCUGCCCCCAGAGGGUCUGUGAGUUAAUACCUUAGGAAUAGUCUACAGUUUUUCAUAGUUUGUCUGAGCUAGAAAACUUGUACCUGUAAAACAAAGGACAGCAUUGGGGACUGAAACUUGUCUCUUUUUUGAACAACUGUGCAAGAAAAUAUAUCCCUUUUUAAAAACGGCAGUUAUGGCUAAACUACAAUCUAGUGUCUAGAAUUACAAAGAAUAAAAUGAAAUCAAGGAUUUCUCACUAGUAAAAUGAAAUGUUAGGAACAGUAUUAAAAUAUAGGUCCUACCCCAAUGACACUUACACAGAGCCCAGUACAGUACCUAUUAUUAACAGGACGCACAGCUUAAGGAGGAACCACAUCAAAUCUUCAGCCAGACAUAUCCAGCCUCAGAAGUGCAAAAAAAAAAAGCCCCCAAA